RNAcentral lists this transfer RNA (74 nucleotides) under Methanobacteriota archaeon. RNAcentral's name for it is "Euryarchaeota archaeon (marine metagenome) tRNA-Cys". It matches the Rfam family "tRNA". Rfam says of the family: Transfer RNA (tRNA) molecules are approximately 80 nucleotides in length. Their secondary structure includes four short double-helical elements and three loops (D, anti-codon, and T loops). The record is from RNAcentral. RNAcentral also lists the same sequence under 2 other names. Lineage: Archaea; Methanobacteriati; Methanobacteriota.
GCCGGGGUAGCCUAGGGGUCAGGCGGGGGACUGCAGAUCCCCUUACCUGGGUUCGAAUCCCAGCCCCGGCUCCA